RNAcentral lists this non-coding RNA (85 nucleotides) under Nitrosomonas sp. Nm58. Lineage: Bacteria; Pseudomonadati; Pseudomonadota; Betaproteobacteria; Nitrosomonadales; Nitrosomonadaceae. The record is from RNAcentral.
UUUUAUGGGUGGCCGUAUGUGGGAGGGUUUAUCCCUGCCGGGCCUCGUUCCGGUCUGUCAACCUGCAUACGCGCUGCCCACCCGU